CGCCUGUUUAUCAAAAACAUCGCCUUUUGCCUUUCAAUAAAAUAAAGGUACAACCUGCCCAGUGAGACAUUUCAACGGCCGCGGUACCCUGACCGUGCUAAGGUAGCAGCAAUCACUUGCCCUUUAAUUGGGGGCUAGUAUGAAUGGUCAAACGAGGGUGAACCUGUCUCAUUAAGGCCUUACCAAAAAUUAUCCUCCACGUGAAGAGACCUGGAUAUAAUAAAAAGACGAGAAGACCCUGUCAAGCUUUACACUGCCCGGGCCUAUCAAUUACUAGCCCAGCCACGUGUUUUGUUGGGGCAACACAGGAACACACGCUUCCUCACUAUAACUUCAACUUCACUAAACAAUCCGACAGCGUCGAAUAAAGACAAAGCUACUGCAGGGAUAACAGGCUAAUCUGCUUCGAGAGCCCACAUUGACAAGCAGGCUUGGCACCUCGAUGUUGGCUUAAGAACCCUUAUUGGGGCAGCCCCCAAUAGAAGGAGGUUUGUUCAACCUAUAAUUUCUUACGUGAUCUGAUUCUCCAGACCGGA
Molecule: ribosomal RNA, 536 nt
Filed under: Sipunculus nudus (marine worm)
Lineage: Eukaryota; Metazoa; Annelida; Sipuncula; Golfingiida; Sipunculidae
Description: partial 16S ribosomal RNA
Rfam family: Bacterial large subunit ribosomal RNA
Source: RNAcentral